CUGGUACUAUCAACCCUGUGGGGCUAUUAACCCCCAGGUCUUACUCCCAGAUGACAGGAGUUUACAAUCCGAAGACCGUCAUCCUCCACGCGGCGUUGCACCAUCAGGGUUUCCCCCAUUGUGA
This 124-nucleotide ribosomal RNA is filed under the name uncultured bacterium. RNAcentral describes it as "partial 16S ribosomal RNA". The record is from RNAcentral.